Molecule: ribosomal RNA, 746 nt
Filed under: Saccharomyces cerevisiae (brewer's yeast)
Lineage: Eukaryota; Fungi; Ascomycota; Saccharomycetes; Saccharomycetales; Saccharomycetaceae
Description: eukaryotic LSU rRNA
Rfam family: Eukaryotic large subunit ribosomal RNA
Source: RNAcentral
UUUGGAGAGGGCAACUUUGGGGCCGUUCCUUGUCUAUGUUCCUUGGAACAGGACGUCAUAGAGGGUGAGAAUCCCGUGUGGCGAGGAGUGCGGUUCUUUGUAAAGUGCCUUCGAAGAGUCGAGUUGUUUGGGAAUGCAGCUCUAAGUGGGUGGUAAAUUCCAUCUAAAGCUAAAUAUUGGCGAGAGACCGAUAGCGAACAAGUACAGUGAUGGAAAGAUGAAAAGAACUUUGAAAAGAGAGUGAAAAAGUACGUGAAAUUGUUGAAAGGGAAGGGCAUUUGAUCAGACAUGGUGUUUUGUGCCCUCUGCUCCUUGUGGGUAGGGGAAUCUCGCAUUUCACUGGGCCAGCAUCAGUUUUGGUGGCAGGAUAAAUCCAUAGGAAUGUAGCUUGCCUCGGUAAGUAUUAUAGCCUGUGGGAAUACUGCCAGCUGGGACUGAGGACUGCGACGUAAGUCAAGGAUGCUGGCAUAAUGGUUAUAUGCCGCCCGUCUUGAAACACGGACCAAGGAGUCUAACGUCUAUGCGAGUGUUUGGGUGUAAAACCCAUACGCGUAAUGAAAGUGAACGUAGGUUGGGGCCUCGCAAGAGGUGCACAAUCGACCGAUCCUGAUGUCUUCGGAUGGAUUUGAGUAAGAGCAUAGCUGUUGGGACCCGAAAGAUGGUGAACUAUGCCUGAAUAGGGUGAAGCCAGAGGAAACUCUGGUGGAGGCUCGUAGCGGUUCUGACGUGCAAAUCGAUCGUCGAAU